CAAUAGCGUAUAUUAAAGUUGUUGCAGUUAAAAGCUCGUAGUUGGAUUUCUGGCAGGAGCGACCGGUCACGCACUCUGUGCGUGAACUUGUGUUGUCUCUGGCCAUCCUUGGGGAGAUCCUGUUUGGCAUUAAGUUGUCGGGCAGGGGAUACCCAUCGUUUACUGUGAAAAAUUAAGAGUGUUUAAAGCAGGCUUAUGCCGUUGAAUAUAUUAGCAUGGAAUAAUAAGAUAGGACUUCGGAACUAUUUUGUUGGUUUUGCGUUACGAAGUAAUGAUUAAUAGGGACAGUUGGGGGUAGUUCUGUAUUUUCAUUGUCAGAGGUGAAAUUCUUGGAUUUUCUGAAAAGACGAACUACUGCGAAAAGCAUUUUACCAAGGAUGUUUUCAUUAAUCAAGAACGAAAGUUAGGGGAUCGAAGACGAUUAGAUACCA
Molecule: ribosomal RNA, 431 nt
Filed under: uncultured eukaryote
Lineage: Eukaryota
Description: SSU rRNA
Rfam family: Eukaryotic small subunit ribosomal RNA
Source: RNAcentral